RNAcentral lists this transfer RNA (86 nucleotides) under Fusarium pseudograminearum. RNAcentral's name for it is "tRNA-Lys". It matches the Rfam family "tRNA". Rfam says of the family: Transfer RNA (tRNA) molecules are approximately 80 nucleotides in length. Their secondary structure includes four short double-helical elements and three loops (D, anti-codon, and T loops). Further hydrogen bonds mediate the characteristic L-shaped molecular structure. tRNAs have two regions of fundamental functional importance: the anti-codon, which is responsible for specific mRNA codon recognition, and the 3' end, to which the tRNAs corresponding amino acid is attached (by aminoacyl-tRNA synthetases). tRNAs cope with the degeneracy of the genetic code in two manners: having more than one tRNA (with a specific anti-codon) for a particular amino acid; and 'wobble' base-pairing, i.e. permitting non-standard base-pairing at the 3rd anti-codon position. The record is from RNAcentral. Lineage: Eukaryota; Fungi; Ascomycota; Sordariomycetes; Hypocreales; Nectriaceae.
ACCCGGGUGACGCAAUUGGUUAGCGUGUCAGACUUUUACAGAAUGAGUAAAUCUGAAAGUUAGGGGUUCGAGUCCCCUCUCGGGUG